Molecule: ribosomal RNA, 463 nt
Filed under: uncultured bacterium
Lineage: Bacteria
Description: partial 16S ribosomal RNA
Rfam family: Bacterial small subunit ribosomal RNA
Source: RNAcentral
GACGAACGCUGGCGGCGUGCUUAACACAUGCAAGUCGAACGGAAAGGCCCUGCUUGCAGGGUACUCGAGUGGCGAACGGGUGAGUAACACGUGGGUGAUCUGCCCUGCACUUCGGGAUAAGCCUGGGAAACUGGGUCUAAUACCGGAUAGGAGCCAUUUUUAGUGUGAUGGUUGGAAAGUUUUUUCGGUGUAGGAUGAGCUCGCGGCCUAUCAGCUUGUUGGUGGGGUAAUGGCCUACCAAGGCGGCGACGGGUAGCCGGCCUGAGAGGGUGGACGGCCACAUUGGGACUGAGAUACGGCCCAGACUCCUACGGGAGGCAGCAGUGGGGAAUAUUGCACAAUGGGCGCAAGCCUGAUGCAGCGACGCCGCGUGGGGGAUGACGGCCUUCGGGUUGUAAACUCCUUUCGCUAGGGACGAAGCUUUUGUGACGGUACCUAGAUAAGAAGCACCGGCUAACUACGU